This 72-nucleotide transfer RNA is filed under the name Dipodomys ordii (Ord's kangaroo rat). It matches the Rfam family "tRNA". From Rfam's summary of the family: Transfer RNA (tRNA) molecules are approximately 80 nucleotides in length. Their secondary structure includes four short double-helical elements and three loops (D, anti-codon, and T loops). Further hydrogen bonds mediate the characteristic L-shaped molecular structure. tRNAs have two regions of fundamental functional importance: the anti-codon, which is responsible for specific mRNA codon recognition, and the 3' end, to which the tRNAs corresponding amino acid is attached (by aminoacyl-tRNA synthetases). tRNAs cope with the degeneracy of the genetic code in two manners: having more than one tRNA (with a specific anti-codon) for a particular amino acid; and 'wobble' base-pairing, i.e. permitting non-standard base-pairing at the 3rd anti-codon position. The record is from Rfam by way of RNAcentral. Lineage: Eukaryota; Metazoa; Chordata; Mammalia; Rodentia; Heteromyidae.
GGGGUGGUAGCUCAGUGGAAGAGUGCUUGCCUUGCAUGCAUGAGUCCCUGGGUUCAAUUCCUCAGCACCACA